UCUUGUUACUAGGUUUUGGAGAAGGUUGGAAGGCAAAAGUGGGCUCAAGCUGGCCAAAGAUGCACAUGAAGUCUUCACCAUAGAGAACACAGACGAAGAGGAUGAAUGUUAAGAGUGUGAAGAGGUAAGGAGAGAGACGUUUUUUUCUUGGAAGUGAAGGAGAAAGGGAAGAAGAAGUGAAGGACGUUGGUGAUGAAGGUUUCAUGUUUUAGGAUUGAGAAUGAUUGAGUGUCUUUAAAUGUGAUUUCGGUACUCAAAAUGUGACAAUUAGUAUUAGGACAAGAGAAGUUAAGAAAUUAAGAAAUGAACACUUUGGGUUCUUGAUGAUCUCAUUCUACUCAGCCUGCAAAUAAUAUGUGGAAAGACUAUGCCAAAAGAUGAGUAUUGUACAAGGAUUAGGUAGUUUAUAAUAUGCUUAAGAUUAUAUUUGGUGAUGAAAAUUUGUGAAUACGCAAAAUAAUAAUAAUACUUAAGGUGAUGAGUAGGUAAAUGUUGACGCAACAGUGGUUGCCUUGCCUCCUAACUAAUGAUUUUUUUUCAUAAGAUUAUAGUUCAUUUAUCUGCUAAUGACAAAUUAACAAGGUUUUUAUAUAUAUUAAUUAAUCAAGUUCAUGGUUGUAUCCUCUAACAAGCAAAAAUGUAAGUGUCGGUUUGUAUUUUAGUAUUUGUGUUCCUAUAAACAAAAACUUAACAUUAUAUGGGAUGAUGAUUGAUAGAGGUGAGAAAAGUGUAAACUUUUCUUGGCUUUGAAGCUAAGUGUCCUUGAGGUGUUUUCAUACCAUAUGAUGGACUUGUAAAGAUGGCAUAUCAUUGUCUUUCACUUUAGUCCUAUGUUACUUAGAAAACAAUAUAAAACAAAUUUUAGUAAUAAAUACAUAUAUGUAGUGGUAAAGAGUUCAAUAUGAAAUGAAGAGUGGAGUUGGUUGAGAAUUUGUUGGGAUUUCAAGCUCAAGUAGUUGGCUCUCAAUGUUCUUUGUACACAAUCUUCACCUAACAAACUACUAAGCCGAUGUUUGUCUAAAUUGUACAAAGUUCAGCUCUAAGGAGACCUUAGAAGGCAAAAAUGUUAUGCCGAUUGAACCGGUCCAGGCCUAGCAGAACCGACUCUAGAAAGACUAGUCCAAAACAUGGUAACCUUAGUUGACCAAUCUGCAUCAGCCGUCUAAAUCUAAAGACCAAAAAUGACAUGUUUGACAGAUUCGGCUCAGCUAGAUCUCGGCCCUAACCAUCCAAGAUCAAAAAAAAAAAAAAGAAGAUUCGAUUCAUUUAAACUUUGAUCCAUUGCAACGUCUCUACUAGUCAGUGAUCGUUUAACAUAAUGUCAGAAAGAAAAAGAAGGUUCUGUCCCCACACGCUUUAUAUAGUAUGCAAGAAUAUAAUGGAAAGAACAUACGUUUAAACAUCAACCUCAAGAAACUGUCACAACAAUCUCUAGAUGAACAAGAUUCUUCUGUUUCUUUUGAGAUCUAUGACAUGACAAGAUAAAAAACGAGAGGCACUUUUUUUAUAGCAGUUCAAGCAAGCAAGCAAGAAGAAGAAACUACAGUAGUUCUAGACGGUUAAUUAAUCACAAACUUAAACUAGAAGAUGGUUUUGCUUUUCAGCCACACUUCUUCAUACGCAAAGAACAUCGCCCACCAUGAUUUUAACAUUGCAUCUCGAUCUCGAUGACUUGUUGUAAAGUUGGAACAUCUCCAAGACACGUUUAGAAACUCCAUGGUUUUCUUCUAACUCUCUAGUAGGACUAUCAUUCUCUUCUUGAACAUAGACCCUCAUCUCCUCCAAACAUGGCAAAUAGUCCAAGAAAAGCUCUAGCAUUGCCAUCCCUUUCACCGUUCCUCGAAACCCGUGAAUCUUCACCACUUUUACUGGACAACAUCCGAGUGAAGGUCCUCUGCGCUGCCUAUAAAAGCAGCCACAACCACCCCCGCACAUAUACGUCACAUCAUCGUGCAUGAGACCCCCCUAAAAGGCACCAAGGAGAACUAACUAUAAGAAGAGAGACUCAAAAGUAGUAUCAAAAGUAGGAACUGAUCUAUUUUUUGCUUACCUCAAUGACUAGAGUUUCUAAACAUGGACAGUUCCCUAGAAGAGCUGGCAUUGCUUGCCAUCCGCAACCCUUGUCACUCUUAAUAGCUAACGAUUUAUAAAACGGCCUAACUCUAUCGUUAGGGUCUUGAGGCUUGCACUUGACACUUUCACAUCCCUAUCUCUCCACCCUACAUUAACCAGAAUCAACUCCUCAAGAGAAGGCAUGGCACGAAGCAGACUCUCAAACUCUUUAGGACAAACCCCAACCGAGUCAAGAGCUAGAGUUUUGAGCAACGGUAAGGAAACGGAAACGCCACCACCAACCAAAGCAAUAUCAAUCCAACCGUUUAGUUUCAGCUUAACCAGUGUGCUGCACUUUGGAGAGAGCUGGUAGCUGACACCACUUGUUAGGUCGAGGUCAGAGACACCACGAGCUAACGCAUUGCUGAUCCAACCAUCCACACGAGCUGUGUCAUCCACGGUAGGGCACUUGAGGGAGAGUUUCUUUAGUGGAGAGCCCUGCAACGUCAAAACUCUAUCCACAAAGUGUGUGAAGCUCUGUAUGAUUUCUCGCCUGUAGAGUUUACCAUAUUGGGGAUGGAGGAACACAGGGUGGUCGUCGAUGGUGAGAGAAGGGACGAAUGCAAGAAGGUUGCGCCACCUCUUGGCGAGAAUGGAUGUCAAAGCAGCUUCCUUUGUGGUGAGGAAAGAGAGUAUGUGACAAAGAACCUCGUCUGGUAGAUUGCUAACACCAUCCAUCUCUUCUCUGCCUGCAACACACACGAAACAAAAGAAAGUAGAUAAAGCUGAAAGCUUUUUAGUCGGAAGAUAACAGUUUAUUCAAGUAAAGCAUGAAAAAUGUAACAGAGGGAACCAAAGAGGAAAGUUUGAAUCAACUCAAUGUAUGAUCAUAUAAAUGAAAAAUGUGUCUUUUAUUUAUUUUUGUCUUCAAUGAAUAAGCCAACAACAAAAUCAGUUUACAGAAUCAUAAGUUCAAACAACUAGUCAGAGACGAGCAUAAACAUAAAGAUCAAACAUAAGAACAACAAGAACUCAGUGAGACUACAAGCAUAAACAUAGGGGCUGAACAUAAACAUAAAAACUACAAGAACUCAGUGAGACUACAAGCAAUCAAGCAUCCUCAGCUCUUUAAGUUACAUGACGUAAGAUACAAAACAAAGAAAGGGACUAAUACAUUCACGAGUAAUUCACAAGAAGUCACUGAACAAACCCACAAACAAGCUAAAAUUAUACCUGUCUUCCAGCAGCUCUACUUCCAAAAACAGCUUAAGUUCUGGGAGUGGUUGCCUUGUUAGAUGCUUCUCUAAUUUCUCCAACCUACAAAACCCAUUUUCCAAAUUAAACAAUUGAAGAUAACAAAGCUAUAAAAUAAAGUUUCUAGCAUAAGAGUUAAAAUAUUGGACGCGGGCUGGGCUAACCCUACAGCAGAUGAGAUAUAAAAGUGCUUAACCGCUCGGUUUCUAAGCGGAGAUAUGAAGCAAAAGCAAAAGAAAUGUUACUGAAGAAGACAGGCAAGGCAAAAGCUGAGUCGAGUCCAGCUAGUAGUAGUCUAGUGUGAAUAAUAUGAAACUAAAUUAACGUAGUCCACAGUCGCUGGUUGUACGCAAAAACAAAUAAAAAAAAGGUUUCUUGAAUGGUUUUAAUUUAUUGUCCUCAGUUGGUUUUGGUUUGGACCGGUUUACAACCUAUAACGUUGGAAAGGAGAUCAGUUACCAAAUCCCAGAGACCCAGGAAGAAAAUUUUACAAUUUGAACAGUUAGCAAAUCAAAAAAAAAAAAAAAAUGAACUCAUUUGAUCAUUUGAUUCAGUUAUAACAAAUGAACAAGAUUCUUCUUUUUCUUAAGAGAUCAAUGCAACAACUUGGGAGAUUUGUGUUCAGUGACAGCUAGUUGACCCGCGAAUAGGAGGCUUGUUGGCCAUGACUUGAACCCCUGAAUCUCUGGAAUAGUGAACCAAAGCAGCUCUGCAAGAUGAAGAGAAAGAGUAAAACUUAUUGCAUGUGAUUCUUAGAUUUAAACACAACAAGUAGAGUAUAUAGAAAAACAGAACAACACCUGUAUUCUGUGAGGUACAGUGACCCAGAAAUCAGAAUUUGGGAUUACCUGUAUUAAUAAGGUAUCAAUCAGUACAUGAGAAAAAUCUCACAAAAUAUGUAAGGGAGUUAGUGAAAACAUACUUCUAUGCCACGAAUUCCAAGGGAGAAAUAGCGAUAUAAUGAACCUCCCAGCAGAUAAGCUCCGAAUAAACAUAAGAUACUGAAGAAAAGAAGAGAACAAUUACAUUAAGUUCCUAAACAUAUUCCAAUAGCCAAUCCUGUAUAAGAAAAAAAUGAUGUACUCACAUGAUUAGUAAGGUACUAAACAAGCCCCAUCCACUACCAUGGCCUGAUAUAGCUACUGCACAGCCUGAAGGAUGUCGCAUCUCAGUAGCCUGCCAGUGAAUCAAGUUCCCAAAUUUUAGUUGUAUGAAUGAAUGAAUGAGAGAAACAAGAUAAUAUCUUAAUUAAACAGCUCUAGCGUCAAAAGUUAAGCCAGACAGAAACCAAAGUCUUAACUACUUGUUAUGCCAUUACUUUCUUAAAUAAUAUUUUUGUUUUUACUCCUACAUACUCUACAGCUCACUGUCUCUGACAAUGCAGAAUAAGCUUCGGAUGGUAAUUUUACAGCUAUUGGAAAAAGAGCAAGUUGAUGAGUUACUGGACACUCACGUAAUCACAGGUACCAGAUUUCGUUAGAGUGAGUGGUCCCUGAGAAAUAGAAAAAGGCGAAUAAGGUAUUACUUAUAAGGUACUAGAAACUGUUAGAACCAAAGUCAAGGAAAACGUCUGAUAUACAACUCCUUACAUCAACUUUAUUUUUCUGGCAGAUAACAGAAACUGAAAGUGAGCAAUUUGGGUUACUACUUCCAGCUAACAUCUUAACAAUGAUGCCUUUGCCAGGAUCCUCUUUAUCUACAGUUUUCAACACAAAAUUCUCUGAGACAGUAUUGGGAGAAAAAAAACAAUAAAAAGCUUCGUCCCAACUAGGAACGCACGCAAUGCCAUGAUUCCAUCAGUACUAGCGAAGCGACUAGAGAAAAAAUAGUCUAUAACAUAUAUUAAAACCUUACCAAUAACAUCAACUUUUGAGCUUGAGGCAUGCCCAAGAGAAGUGCAAACAUCAUAUCCUGCCAACGAUAAGAGCAGAAAAUCAAAGGAAUCGUAUUGUAAUUUGUAUGCAAUAUCUGCACCUUAUAAAUAUUCAACUCGGCCUCAUAAGAUACAUUAGAAUCACAAGAUGUAGUUUUUACCUCUUACAUUUUCUGACAGGAGUGCACUACACGAUGUCCCACAGUGUGAUGGACCUCCGCAAUCCUAAGUGAAGAAAAGGAAAGUCGUAGAGACUGAUUAAAAUUUCCAAAUCCAGAAAUAAAAACUCCCUCUCUUUUUCUUCUUGAAAGAUUAAUCAAAACAGUGGGAAUUGAUACAAAAAAUCUUACUUGGCAACCAACACAUCGAGGAGGGUCGUGAUUGAAAAUAAGCAAGUCACAAAGCUGCUCCACAAUAACAAAGGUAACAAUCAUAAAUCACACUGGUCUAGUGUAAAACACAAAGGGCAGUAUAACAACCACCUAAAGUGAAAAGACUUUCCUAAACAAAAUCUUAUGCUCUUUCUUCUUUAACUAGCUACAGCAUGCACGAAAAGCAAGAUACACAUACAAAGUGUAAACCUGAUGUAGAGGACAACCUGAAACCAAAGCACGGUACUGUUCGCUUCCACUCUAUAAAACCUGAAACAUCAAUCCAAUCACACUUGCGUUUAGUAUAAGCACAAGAUCGAAAAGAAUGUUAAAAACUGAAACUUUAUGGAAUUUGAAGAGUACCCAUCUUCGCUGAGAGCACCGUGAGGGUGAUUCUUAACCGAAGAAGCUAAAUUGAAAUCGAAGACCUUGUUGCGUCGAUUGAAUCUGAACUCGCAUUGAGAGUUAGCUCCGAAGGGGAUAAGGACGAGAGCGAUGAGGAGAAUCUUUGGGAUCCAGAGCGUCUCCGCCAUGUCCGUGGAUCUCGACGGAGAAGAAGAAGAAGAGAUGAUUGCUCGUCACGGUUGCAGUCCCGGUCGCUCUUCUUCGAUUUACAUCAGCCGUUGAUUCAGAUUUUCACUUGCACCCCUCAACUAUGUACUUCUUACGAAUCAGCACCGUAACUUUUGUGUCUUUCAGUUAAGGUCUCUCGAUUUUUUUUAUUAUUUGAAAGCCUGGAUGGUUUUAUCAUAUGGGCUUAUAUUGAUGACAACCAUACCCUUGAACGGCCUAGUUAAAACUCAGCCGAAGAAACUGGUCCAUUAGGAGUGGCAUCUCGCUAAAAUUCUCAAAAUAUAUUAGUAUAAACUCCUUAAUAAAUUAGUACUUAAAUAUUUAUAAAAAAACUAAUAAACAUUUCAAUUUCUAUAUAUUUUUUUAUAUUGAUCUAAUGAUCUUGUACUUUGUUAUAAAAUGUUCCUAAUAUCAAUAUAUUGAUUUGUCAAAAAAAUAAAUUAGUACUUAAUAGUAUAUGUCAAAAUCAUCAAAUUCUUAGACUAAGUAUCUUAAAUGAAAAAAAUUGAUAUAAUAUUUUCAUAACUUAAAAUACCCACAGUUAAACAUGAAUAUUUCCAUUAAAAUGCUUUUAUGGUCUUUUUUCCCAUUAAAACUGAAUUCCAUUGAUAUAGCAAUGAACAUUACAUUAGCAUAACAAAUCAUAACUUCUUAUUACACGGUUUAUCAACUCAUCUUAUCACCAUAAAAAUUCAGUUAAAAACAAACACGGCAGGAAAGUACAAAUACUGCACUAGAGUGGUGAAAACGAGUUGGUCAGCCACUCCGUUAUGAGGUAUAUACGGCGGCGACGCAAUAUGAUCACAUAGUGGUCGGCCGCUUCCACAUGUCGACUUGACUCCGUUGAAAUGAUUUAUGGUCUAACAUCAGAUUUUUUGCUGUCUUAGAAACAUUUAAUAUUUUUUUAAAUAAUUUAAUAGUUAUAAAAGUUAGUGAAAAUUAUCCAAACAAAACGAACCAGACUGUAACCAAAAUAAUCAAAUUGUUACCAGUUUCCACUGAUUUCUUUAUUAUUAAACCAAAAUGAAAUCUAUUUAAAAUUCUUAACUUUUAAAAAUUAUAUCUGAAUUAUGUUAAAAAUAAAUAAAUUAUAUCUGAAUUAUGUUAAAAAUAAAUAAACAAGAAGAAGAUUGAAGUUGCCAGGUGAACUUUUAAGUAUUUAUACUUUGAUACAAUAUAUUUGAUAUCAAAAUAUACUACCAAAAUCAUGGAUUACAUCAUGGAAGAGGUGACAACACAAAUCAUAAGGCAUAAUCUCUUUGUUGUAUGACGAUAUUCUUAUAAUCGUUGAAAAAUAGUCUUUCCAAUGUUUAUUUCUUACGGUAGAAUCAACAAAUUGGAUUCUGAACCAAAAAAUAUAUUUAUAUUUAAAUUGGAAUAAAAUUAAGAAUUAGUGUUUAUAAUGCGACAAAACUUUAAAAUUCGCAAGAAAGAUUAAUAGAGUUGAUACUCUAAUAAUAAAGAAUUCUCAAAGAGAAUCAUCAGCUAUUUCAUGUGUUAUAUUAUUUUCCACAUUAGUAUAACCAAGUUAUUUUUUUGUAUUUUCAUAAUUCUGUACGUAUUUGUAUAAUUUGAUUACAAUCUAAUUAAUAAAUUUUAGUUGUCAAAAGUAAAAAAAAAAACCGAAAAUCUGCAGGCCUAUUGAUAACCAAACAAAAAAUCUGAUCCAAACUUAAUAACAUGGGCCGUCAAACUUUUGGCCCAGUUAAAACCUAAUGACUUCCCCUAAUUCUCCAAACGUCGCCGUUUUCACAAAAUUUCCGUUUUAUAUUUUUCUUCCUCACUCGUCUCUCUGUUCCCUGAACUAUAUCCCAAACAAUCUGCCAGAUCACUCCGUCGCUUAAAAACCCUAAAAAUCUCUCCGCCGUCUAUCCAAAUUCGCUUAACCAUGGCGACACCGAAUCUAGAGUGCCGCAUGUACGAAGCCAAGUACCCGGAGGUAGACAUGGCGGUGAUGAUCCAGGUCAAAUCCAUCGCCGACAUGGGAGCCUACGUGUCGCUCCUCGAGUACAACAACACCGAAGGCAUGAUCCUCUUCUCCGAGCUCUCCCGCCGCCGGAUCCGGAGCGUCAGCAGCUUGAUCAAGGUCGGGAAAAUCGAGCCCGUCAUGGUCCUGCGUGUCGACAAGGAGAGGGGGUACAUUGAUCUGAGCAAACGCAGGGUUAGCGAGGAGGAUAUUCAGACUUGUGAGGAGAGGUAUAAUAAGAGCAAGCUCGUUCAUUCUAUCAUGCGCCAUGUUGCUGAGACGCUUUCUAUUGAUUUGGAGGUAAAUAAAAAUCGAAUCUUUAGUGGUAUUGAUUGUGUAGAUUCUGCAUUUAGUGUAAAGUAGCUACCUUUGUGUGUGGUAACUGUUAUACAUUAGUGAUUAGAUAUGUACAGCUAUUAUAGUUUACUGGUGUAGUCUUUGAUUAUACAUUGGUUUGAGUCUCUCAUAUAGUGUAAAGUAGCUACCUUUGUGUGUGGUAACUGUUAUACAUUAGUGAUUAGAUAUGUACAGCUAUUAUAGUUUACUGGUGUAGUCUUUGAUUAUACAUUGGUUUGAGUCUCUCAUAUAGUGUAAAGUAGCUACCUUUGGUGUGGUUAUGUUGAGACUUGCAACUGUUAUAUAUUAGCGAUUAGAUCUCUUCAUCUACAGCUAUUAUAUAGUUUACUGAUGUAAUUUUUGAUUAUGCAAAUUCUUUAUAUAGUGUUAAGUAGCUACCUUUGAGUGGUGAUGCUGAGACUUGAAACUGUUUUAUCUUAGUGAUUAGAUCUCCUCAUCUACAGCUAUUAUAGUUCACUGAUGUAACCUUUGAUUAUGCAAGUUCUGCAUAUAGUGUAAAGUAGCUAUCUUUGUGGGGUGAUGCUGAGGCUUGAGACUGCUAUAUCUUUGUGAUUAGAUCUCUUCAUCUACACCUAUCAUAGUUUAUUGAUGUAAUUUUAGAUUAUGAAAAUUCUGCAUAUAGACUGAAGUAGCUACCCUAGUGUGGAUGUGGUGAUGCUGAGACUUGAAACUGUUAUAUCUCUUCAUCUGCACUUCUGCAGCUAUUAUAGCUUACUGAUGUAACCUUUGACUAUACAUUGAUUUGAGUUUUCCUUUUGCAGGAGUUGUAUGUGAACAUCGGUUGGCCUUUGUACCGUAAACAUGGUCAUGCUUUUGAGGUAAAAACUUUUUUAUUUAGCCUUUUAUUGCAUCCCCGUAGAUGGCUAUCUCUCAAAUGUUUUUUUUUAUUGUUUAGGCCUUCAAGGUCUUAGUAACUGAUCCUGAUUCUGUGUUGGAUUCCCUCACCCGUGAAAUCAAAGAAGUUGGGCCUGAUGGGCAGGAGGUAUAUACUUUUCUCGGGUUUUGUUUUAUUUGUUAGUACUUAGUACAAACUUCCUUUGAUGCUAAUGUUACUAGUAUUCUAUUUGCAGGUGACUAAAGUUGUACCCUGCUGUUACGGAAGAAGUGAAAGAUGCGCUUGUGAAGAACAUCAGGAGGAGAAUGACACCACAACCAAUGAAAAUGGGAAAGAGCUUACGAGGGAAGGUUGCAGUGAUUAGGUUGCCACCGCCAGAACUGGUAAUCUUUGUCGGGACGGCCGCGUUCUUGACACGUAAGCUGAGGUUGGAUGUACGGACACUCCCGUUCCUCGUACUGUGGUCGGGAAGCUUCAUCUCUCACCCAUUUUCCGCUAAAGACGUCACAGUUUUCCUCUGUUUUGCCAAUAGCAAACGCAAGCUUCUCUGCUUUCUUGUUACUAGGUUUUGGAGAAGGUUGGAAGGCAAAAGUGGGCUCAAGCUGGCCAAAGAUGCACAUGAAGUCUUCACCAUAGAGAACACAGACGAAGAGGAUGAAUGUUAAGAGUGUGAAGAGGUAAGGAGAGAGACGUUUUUUUCUUGGAAGUGAAGGAGAAAGGGAAGAAGAAGUGAAGGACGUUGGUGAUGAAGGUUUCAUGUUUUAGGAUUGAGAAUGAUUGAGUGUCUUUAAAUGUGAUUUCGGUACUCAAAAUGUGACAAUUAGUAUUAGGACAAGAGAAGUUAAGAAAUUAAGAAAUGAACACUUUGGGUUCUUGAUGAUCUCAUUCUACUCAGCCUGCAAAUAAUAUGUGGAAAGACUAUGCCAAAAGAUGAGUAUUGUACAAGGAUUAGGUAGUUUAUAAUAUGCUUAAGAUUAUAUUUGGUGAUGAAAAUUUGUGAAUACGCAAAAUAAUAAUAAUACUUAAGGUGAUGAGUAGGUAAAUGUUGACGCAACAGUGGUUGCCUUGCCUCCUAACUAAUGAUUUUUUUUCAUAAGAUUAUAGUUCAUUUAUCU
Molecule: long non-coding RNA, 10396 nt
Filed under: Brassica napus (rape)
Lineage: Eukaryota; Viridiplantae; Streptophyta; Magnoliopsida; Brassicales; Brassicaceae
Description: long non-coding RNA (BNAP_LNC003909)
Source: RNAcentral